UGGGGAAUAUUGCACAAUGGGCGCAAGCCUGAUGCAGCGACGCCGCGUGGGGGAUGACGGCCUUCGGGUUGUAAACCCCUUUCGCCCGGGACGAAGCGUAAGUGACGGUACCGGGAGAAGAAGCACCGGCCAACUACGUGCCAGCAGCCGCGGUAAUACGUAGGGUGCAAGCGUUGUCCGGAAUUAUUGGGCGUAAAGAGCUCGUAGGCGGUGUGUCACGUCUGCCGUGAAAACCUGCGGCUUAACCGUGGGCGUGCGGUGGAUACGGGCAUCACUUGAGUUCGGUAGGGGAGACUGGAAUUCCUGGUGUAGCGGUGGAAUGCGCAGAUAUCAGGAGGAACACCGGUGGCGAAGGCGGGUCUCUGGGCCGAUACUGACGCUGAGGAGCGAAAGCGUGGGGAGCGAACAGGAUUAGAUACC
Molecule: ribosomal RNA, 420 nt
Filed under: uncultured bacterium
Lineage: Bacteria
Description: bacterial SSU rRNA
Rfam family: Bacterial small subunit ribosomal RNA
Source: RNAcentral